UGGACAACCUGCCCUCAGCACUGGGAUAACCCCGGGAAACCGGAGCUAAUACCAGAUACGACCUCGGUAGGCAUCUUCUGAGGUGGAAAGUGUUAGUGGCUGAGGAUGGGCCCGCGGCCUAUCAGCUUGUUGGUGGGGUAACGGCCUACCAAGGCGACGACGGGUAGCCGGCCUGAGAGGGCGACCGGCCACACUGGGACUGAGACACGGCCCAGACCUCCGUACGGGAGGCA
RNAcentral lists this ribosomal RNA (233 nucleotides) under uncultured bacterium. RNAcentral describes it as "partial 16S ribosomal RNA". It matches the Rfam family "Bacterial small subunit ribosomal RNA", at positions 118 to 350 of the family's 1533-position model. The record is from RNAcentral.